CCCUACGGGACGCAGCAGUCGAGAAUUUUUCUCAAUGGGGGAAACCCUGAAGGAGCGACGCCGCGUGGAGGAUGAAGGUCUUCGGAUUGUAAACUCCUGUCAUUGGGGAACAAGGUGCAUACGUUAACUGCGUGUGCAUUGAUAGUACCCGAAGAGGAAGAGACGGCUAACUCUGUGCCAGCAGCCGCGGUAAUACAGAGGUCUCAAGCGUUGUUCGGAUUCAUUGGGCGUAAAGGGUGCGUAGGCGGCGCGGUAAGUCGGGUGUGAAAUCUUGGAGCUUAACUCCGAAACUGCAUUCGAUACUGCCGUGCUUGAGGACUGGAGAGGAGACUGGAAUUUACGGUGUAGCGGUGAAAUGCGUAGAUAUCGUAAGGAAGACCAGUGGCGAAGGCGGGUCUCUGGACAGUUCCUGACGCUGAGGCACGAAGGCCAGGGGAGCAAACGGGAUUAGAUACCCCCGUAGUCCA
Molecule: ribosomal RNA, 467 nt
Filed under: uncultured bacterium
Lineage: Bacteria
Description: bacterial SSU rRNA
Rfam family: Bacterial small subunit ribosomal RNA
Source: RNAcentral